GUUGUUCAUGGCAUUGAUGUUUUUGAUCCCAAAUUCAAUAUUGUCUCCCCUGGUGCUGACAUGAGCAUAUACUUCCCCUACACUGAGGAGAAACUAAGGUUGACCUCUUUCCAUCCAGAAAUCGAGGAGCUUCUCUACAGCCCUGUUGAGAAUGAAGAACACUUAUGUGUGCUAAAAGAUCGCAACAAGCCAAUUAAAUUCUUAACUCUGUCCAGCCUUGCC
Molecule: unclassified non-coding RNA, 222 nt
Filed under: Hevea brasiliensis (rubber tree)
Lineage: Eukaryota; Viridiplantae; Streptophyta; Magnoliopsida; Malpighiales; Euphorbiaceae
Source: RNAcentral